This 253-nucleotide unclassified non-coding RNA is filed under the name uncultured Sphingomonadaceae bacterium. RNAcentral describes it as "contains 16S-23S intergenic spacer region". It matches the Rfam family "Bacterial small subunit ribosomal RNA", at positions 524 to 776 of the family's 1533-position model. Lineage: Bacteria; Pseudomonadati; Pseudomonadota; Alphaproteobacteria; Sphingomonadales; Sphingomonadaceae. The record is from RNAcentral.
UACGGAGGGGGCUAGCGUUGUUCGGAAUUACUGGGCGUAAAGCGCACGUAGGCGGCUAUUCAAGUCAGAGGUGAAAGCCCGGGGCUCAACCCCGGAAUAGCCUUUGAAACUAGAUAGCUUGAAUCACGGAGAGGUGGGUGGAAUUCCGAGUGUAGAGGUGAAAUUCGUAGAUAUUCGGAAGAACACCAGUGGCGAAGGCGGCCCACUGGACGUGUAUUGACGCUGAGGUGCGAAAGCGUGGGGAGCAAACAGG